Molecule: long non-coding RNA, 1212 nt
Filed under: Chlamydomonas reinhardtii
Lineage: Eukaryota; Viridiplantae; Chlorophyta; Chlorophyceae; Chlamydomonadales; Chlamydomonadaceae
Description: long non-coding RNA (CREI_LNC000570)
Source: RNAcentral
GCGCAUUCUGGUGAAGCGCGAUGAGCUGACCCUGGAGGGUAUCAAGCAGUUCUACGUGAACGUGGACAAGGAGGAGUGGAAGCUGGACACGCUGUGCGACCUGUACGAGACGCUGGCCAUCACCCAGUCCGUCAUCUUCGCCAACACCCGCCGCAAGGUGUGGGCGGGGACGCGCGGGGGGGGGGGGCGCCUGGGGAUGCGCGAUGGGGACCAACCAGCUUCAUUUGGCACAGCCGGCAAACUUCUGAGGGCAGGGCGGCCCGGCUAACGUGUUUGUGGGAACGGUUGCCUAGCACCCUGUUGUGUUGCUAACGAAUUAUGCCCAUGCUGCCGAUGCAAUCCGCAGGUGGACUGGCUGACGGACAAGAUGCGCGAGCGCGACCACACCGUGUCCGCCACCCACGGCGACAUGGACCAGAACACGCGCGAUGUGAUCAUGCGCGAGUUCCGCUCCGGCUCGUCGCGUGUGCUGAUCACCACCGACCUGCUGGCCCGCGGCAUUGACGUGCAGCAGGUGUCGCUGGUCAUCAACUACGACCUGCCCACCCAGCCCGAGAACUACCUGCACCGCAUUGGUCGCUCGGGCCGCUUCGGACGCAAGGGUGUUGCCAUCAACUUCGUGACCAAGGUAAGCGGCUGGGCAAGGAGGUCAAUGAAAGGCGAUGUUCGGAACUCUUGCUGGAGCCGAAUAUGGAUUGGGAAAGGGUGCUUGGCCGGCGCGUGUCAGCGCUGAAGCAUUGAUGACGCGAUGAUGAGAGUGGCAGUAAGGCGUGCUGCUGUGGAACGCGGGACCUGGCACCUGCUGACUCUCAACCAUAUCCUUGUGCCUUUGCAGGACGACGAGCGCAUGCUCCAGGACAUCCAGCGGUUCUACAACACCGUGAUUGAGGAGCUGCCCUCGAACGUCGCUGACCUCAUCUAAGCGCUCUACUACCACCAAAUGUGCGCUAGCCCCUGGGUCCAGCCGAUCCCAAGCACGGGGCGAAGCCUGCAGGAUGUGAAGGGCACGGGGCAGGGCGCGCCGCCACGCAGCCGCCCCGUGACCCGACAACGUGCUGUACGUGCUGCGCUGCGAGUCCUUUUGAACACGGGCCGUCGUUGCGGGUGGUAAACGUGAACCUGUGUUGAGGCGGGUCGGCGCAGCUUCGGUUGCAGCCAUUUGAGAGAGAAGGAAGUUUGCCGGUUUGCAAACGGCAGGAGUUUUGUCGCGAC